AUGACAAUAAUUUUUACGAUGCAUGGUCAUCUGUUUCAUGUGAUGGGGAUUGCUUGGAUCCAUGGAGAAAACUUUUUGGGUUCAUCUGAUUUUUACGGAAUAGUAAUUGUUUGGCUUCAUCUGACCAAGAGAAAGUUCACGGAUUCAGAAUUGUGCAAGCUAUCAGAUUAUGUGGAUGAGAUCCAUACUACUGGUCAGAACUGUGAACUGUCAGGAGCACUAAAGUUUGACAAGAUCUUAAUUGAAGAACACAUCUGGACUAAUAAAUGUCAAGAAAUUAACUGCAGACGCAUCAUCAAACGCAGCACGAAAUGA
Vicia faba (fava bean) is the source of this 315-nucleotide non-coding RNA. The record is from the annotation of a GenBank genome assembly. Lineage: Eukaryota; Viridiplantae; Streptophyta; Magnoliopsida; Fabales; Fabaceae.